AUGGCAAUUGUCCAUACCUACGGGAAGCCUGACAUCUUCUUGACCAUGACCUGCAACCCUAACUGGGAAGAGAUAACGAAUGAGUUGUUUCCUGGUCAGACAGUGCAAGACCGACCUGAUCUUGUGGCUCGUGUGUUCCAUGGCAAGCUAGAGGCUAUGAAAGAGAUGUUGUUCAAGAAGAAUAUCCUGGGUGUUGUUGUUGCACAUGUAUACGUAGUCGAGUUCCAAAAGAGGGGCCUC
Molecule: ribosomal RNA, 240 nt
Filed under: Triticum aestivum (bread wheat)
Lineage: Eukaryota; Viridiplantae; Streptophyta; Magnoliopsida; Poales; Poaceae
Description: partial small subunit ribosomal RNA
Source: RNAcentral